UGCGUAGGCGGGCGAGUCAGUCAGGGGUGAAAUCCCACGGCCCAACCGUGGAAGUGCCUCUGAUACUGCGAGUCUAGAGGGGGAUAGGGGCGUGCGGAACUUCCGGUGGAGCGGUGAAAUGCGUAGAUAUCGGAAGGAACACCGGUGGCGAAAGCGGCGCGCUGGAUCCCUACUGACGCUGAGGCACGAAAGCCAGGGGAGCAAACG
Molecule: ribosomal RNA, 207 nt
Filed under: uncultured bacterium
Lineage: Bacteria
Description: partial 16S ribosomal RNA
Rfam family: Bacterial small subunit ribosomal RNA
Source: RNAcentral